This 188-nucleotide antisense RNA is filed under the name Amborella trichopoda. RNAcentral describes it as "lncRNA IsrR". It matches the Rfam family "Antisense RNA which regulates isiA expression". The record is from Rfam by way of RNAcentral. Lineage: Eukaryota; Viridiplantae; Streptophyta; Magnoliopsida; Amborellales; Amborellaceae.
AAUAACCAAAUAUAACACUUGGGCUAAGUGUCAGGUUGGUUAUUUUUCUUAUAUCUCCGUCACCGAGGGCCCAAGUAUCAUAUACGCCUCCAAAAUAAAGAGCCUUGAACAUUUAGGAGAAAAGCAUCUACGCCUAAUAAAAUUAAGUGACUACCCAAAAUAGUGGUUAUUUUAUUUCUAUCUUUCCA